This 431-nucleotide long non-coding RNA is filed under the name Malus domestica (apple). RNAcentral's name for it is "long non-coding RNA (MDOM_LNC004735)". Lineage: Eukaryota; Viridiplantae; Streptophyta; Magnoliopsida; Rosales; Rosaceae. The record is from RNAcentral.
UUCGAUUUCUGAGAUCGGCCCUCGUGGUCUCUGAGCAGCCCAGCUUUUGAGAAAGCGAGCGCCUCUUCGAUUGAUUCGGAGAACGAUGCCUCAUCGAUUUUUUAGAAAGCAAUCAUGCUGGGGGUCUGGCUCUCGAAGAUUCGGGGAGCAGUGUCUCUUCGAUUUUUGAGAAAGUAAUCAUGUUGGGAGUCUGGCUCUCGAGAUUCGGAGGGCGGUGCCUCUUCGAUUUUGGAGCAAGCAAUCUUGUUGAGAGUGUUUUCUCGAAUGCGAGUAAAGGUUGGGCAUGUUUGCUAGUCUACCUUGCCACGAAGCACAGAGGUUGACACACAGGGACUUUCCAAUUAUCCAGCAGUGGUACUGUUCCUUUACCCUUGUGGGUAAUAAUAUGGUAGCUAGACCUUCAAAAUUUAUGGGUCUAAACUUUGUUAGUG